This 400-nucleotide long non-coding RNA is filed under the name Brassica napus (rape). RNAcentral's name for it is "long non-coding RNA (BNAP_LNC020189)". Lineage: Eukaryota; Viridiplantae; Streptophyta; Magnoliopsida; Brassicales; Brassicaceae. The record is from RNAcentral.
UUUUUUUGCUAAAACUACAAAGAAAACAUACCGAAGUAAUCUUCUACUUUUUUUUUUGUCAACAAAGUAAUCUUCUACAGUUUUGAAAAAGAAUAUAUUCCAUAUUUAACCAAUUCCAUUAACUUUAUCCUAUCAUUUUUUUUAUCUGUUGUAAUAUCCCAUUCUACCUAAUUAAUUUAGGGCAAAUCUUCAAAAUAACACUUUUCUAAGUUUAUAUCACAAAAAUAGCAUUCAAAAACCAAAAUGACCAAAAUAGCACAUUUCUAAGUUUAUCCUUUGAAAAUUUUAAUUUUUUUAUUUUUCAAAAUUUGAAAUCUUAUCUCCAAAACCUCAUUUCUCAACCCUAAACCAUAAACCCUAAACCCUAAACCAUAAACCCUAAACCCUAAACUCUAAACCC